Ribosomal RNA from Pteropus vampyrus (large flying fox), 119 nucleotides. The record is from Ensembl. Lineage: Eukaryota; Metazoa; Chordata; Mammalia; Chiroptera; Pteropodidae.
GUCUACGGCCAUACUACCCUGAAUGUGCCCGAUCUCAUGUGAUCUCGGAAGCUAAGCAGGAUGGGGCCUGGUUAGUACUUGGAUGAGAGCCCACAUAGGAAGACCAGGUGCUGUAGGCG